RNAcentral lists this ribosomal RNA (369 nucleotides) under uncultured bacterium. RNAcentral describes it as "bacterial SSU rRNA". It matches the Rfam family "Bacterial small subunit ribosomal RNA", at positions 527 to 895 of the family's 1533-position model. The record is from RNAcentral.
GUAGGUCACAAGCGUUGUCCGGAAUUACUGGGUGUAAAGGGAGCGCAGGCGGGAAGACAAGUUGGAAGUGAAAUCUAUGGGCUCAACCCAUAAACUGCUUUCAAAACUGUUUUUCUUGAGUAGUGCAGAGGUAGGCGGAAUUCCCGGUGUAGCGGUGGAAUGCGCAGAUAUCGGGAGGAACACCAGUGGCGAAGGCGGCCUACUGGGCACCAACUGACGCUGAGGCUCGAAAGUGUGGGUAGCAAACAGGAUUAGAUACCCUGGUAGUCCACACCGUAAACGAUGAUUACUAGGUGUUGGAGGAUUGACCCCUUCAGUGCCGCAGUUAACACAAUAAGUAAUCCACCUGGGGAGUACGACCGCAAGGUG